Molecule: ribosomal RNA, 467 nt
Filed under: uncultured bacterium
Lineage: Bacteria
Description: partial 16S ribosomal RNA
Rfam family: Bacterial small subunit ribosomal RNA
Source: RNAcentral
GAUGAACGCUGGCGGCGUGCUUAACACAUGCAAGUCGAACGGUGAAGGCGGAGCUUGCUCUGCUGGAUCAGUGGCGAACGGGUGAGUAACACGUGAGCAAUCUGCCCCUGACUUUGGGAUAAGCGCUGGAAACGGCGUCUAAUACUGGAUACGAGCUGCGAAGGCAUCUUCAGCAGCUGGGAAGAUUUUCGGUCAGGGAUGAGCUCGCGGCUUAUCAGCUUGUUGGUGAGGUAAUGGCUAACCAAGGCGUCGACGGGUAGCCGGCCUGAGAGGGUGACCGGCAAAACGGGACUGAGACACGGCCCAGACUCCUACGGGAGGCAGCAGUGGGGAAUAUUGCACAAUGGGCGAAAGCCUGAUGCAGCAACGCCGCGUGAGGGACGACGGCCUUCGGGUUGUAAACCGCUUUUGGCAGGGAAGAAGCGAAAGUGACGGUACCGGCAGAAAAAGCGCCGGCUAACUACGUG